UUUAAGUUCCUCGGCAUACACAUCACAGACAAACUGAAUUGGUCCACUCACACUGACAGCGUCGUGAAGAAGGCGCAGCAGCGCCUAUUCAACCUCAGGAGGCUGAAGAAAUUCGGCUUGUCACCAAAAGCACUCACAAACUUCUACAGAUGCACAAUCGAGAGCAUCCUGGCGGGCUGUAUCACCGCCUGGUACGGCAACUGCUCCGCCCUCAACCGUAAGGCUCUCCAGAGGGUAGUGAGGACUGCACAACGCAUCACCGGGGCAAACUACCUGCCCUCCAGGACACCUACACCACCCGUUGUUACAGGAAGGCCAUAAAGAUCAUCAAGGACAUCAACCACCCGAACCACUGCCUGUUCACCCCGCUAUCAUCCAGAAGGCGAGGCUUACAAUCAGAGUUUGAAGAAGUAUCCUGGCGACUCCUCUCUCUCAGGCCUCUCUCACACUCAUCUGGAUAACAGAACACUGCAGAACAAUAAUUGCAGAUGUCUGAAAGGUUCACUUUACCAUGGAUAUGAAGGUCCUACUAAUGGAUGUUUUCCUUCCUAUAAUUGUAUCUAUAUUAUCUUCUAUCAGAUGAACUGCGACUCUGACCCGGCCAUGAGUUCAUGCCGUUUGAACCUUCCUUUCUGGUUACUGUUGUUACGCCCUGACCUUAGUUCAUUUUUAUGUCUCUGUUUUAGUUUGGUCAGGGCGUGAGUUGGGGUGGGCAUUCUAUGUUUUUGUUCUAGGUUGUGUAUUUCUGUGUUUGGCCUGGUAUGGUUCCCAAUCAGAGGCAGCUGUCGAUCGUUGUCUCUGAUUGAGAACCAUACUUAGGUAGCCUGUUUUCCCACUAUGAUUUGUGUGUAAUUAUUUUCUGUUUAGUGUGUUUUGUACCUGACGGACCUGUUUCGGUUGUUUAUUUUGUUUCUUGUUGUAUUUAGUGUUCAGUUUAUUAAAAUAAUGAUGAACACUUACCACGCUG
This is a long non-coding RNA of Oncorhynchus keta (chum salmon), 967 nucleotides long. RefSeq lists it as uncharacterized. The transcript has 2 exons. Lineage: Eukaryota; Metazoa; Chordata; Actinopteri; Salmoniformes; Salmonidae. The record is from RefSeq and is a predicted model, not a curated record.